RNAcentral lists this ribosomal RNA (301 nucleotides) under uncultured bacterium. RNAcentral's name for it is "partial 16S ribosomal RNA". It matches the Rfam family "Bacterial small subunit ribosomal RNA", at positions 509 to 807 of the family's 1533-position model. The record is from RNAcentral.
CAGUCGCCACGGUAAUACGGAGGGUGCAAGCGUUAAUCGGAAUUACUGGGCGUAAAGCGUGCGUAGGCGGUUUGGCAAGUCUUGUGUGAAAUCUUCGGGCUCAACCCGAAGCCUGCACGAGAAACUGCCGGGCUUGAGUAUUGGAGAGGUGAGUGGAGUUUCCGGUGUAGCGGUGAAAUGCGUAGAUAUCGGAAGGAACACCUGUGGCGAAAGCGGCUCACUGGACAAUAACUGACGCUGAUGCACGAAAGCUAGGGGAGCAAACAGGAUUAGAUACCCCUGUAGUCCCUGUCUCUUAUAC